GGGAGGAAAUCACGUCUCAUAUAGAACAGUUUAGCAAACCACAAAUUACGUAGGACAGAAAAAAAAAUUCUUCGAAGCCCAGGAGUAAGGGCUAUGAAGAACAUUGAUAUCAAAGACAGUAACAAAGAGGACGGUAGUAGACCAAACAAGAGAAACAAAUGUAAACAUGCACAGCUAUCGCCCACCUGCGUUUCAACACACUUCAGCAUUAGUUAAAAAGCUGGAAGCCGUGCGCAGGAUAUACAAACUAAAAUAAAAACCUGUAAAGCAUGUCGAGACUAAACACAAGCCCCCAUCGUUUACUGCUGCUACAGUCGCCUACACAGGUGGUUCAUGAGAGCUGAAAAAGCAUUUUGUUAGCACGAAGGGGCGAGGGAAAGGCGGGAUAGCACAAGGGAGAGCGGCCAGGAGCGCUUGCAGGGCGUGAGGAGAGGCAAGGAUUCAGAGAAGAGAGCAGCCGCUUUACCGGAACGUGGAGGCAUCGAAGAGGCAUUUAGGAAGGAGAAGGAGGAGCAGAGGAAACAGGUGCAGAAGAGCGAAUAUGGAGAUGAGAGAGAUUUGCUGUAUGUUGUUGCUGGAUUGUAUGCUGGCUGUGGGGAGGAAAGGAACAUCACUCACUGACCUGAAUUCCUGUCCAGAUUAUCAAUGUCAGGCCAAACAGAUUAUCAGGAACUCUUGAAAAAUUGGUAAGAAAAUUUUGCUUUAUA
RNAcentral lists this long non-coding RNA (707 nucleotides) under Cyanistes caeruleus (blue tit). RNAcentral's name for it is "lncRNA (ENSCCEG00000017959.1)". The record is from RNAcentral. Lineage: Eukaryota; Metazoa; Chordata; Aves; Passeriformes; Paridae.